GUACUGUGCGAACGUUGUUCGGAAUUACUGGGCUUAAAGGGUGCGUAGGCGGUCGAUCAAGUCGGGUGUGAAAUCCCUCGGCUCAACCGAGGAACUGCGCCCGAAACUAAUCGGCUUGAGUGAGAUAGGGGUGUGCGGAACUUCCAGUGGAGCGGUGAAAUGUGUUGAUAUUGGAAGGAACACCGGUGGCGAAAGCGGCACACUGGGUCUCAACUGACGCUGAGGCACGAAAGCCAGGGGAGCGAACGGGGAUUAGAUACCCCGGUAGUCCUGGCUGUAAACGUUGAGCACUAGACGGGAGGAGCUUCGGCUCAUCCGGUCGUAGCGAAAGCGAUAAGUGCUCCGCCUGGGGAGUAUGGUCGCAAGGCUG
This 370-nucleotide ribosomal RNA is filed under the name uncultured organism. RNAcentral's name for it is "partial 16S ribosomal RNA". It matches the Rfam family "Bacterial small subunit ribosomal RNA", at positions 527 to 896 of the family's 1533-position model. The record is from RNAcentral.